Molecule: long non-coding RNA, 891 nt
Organism: Ipomoea triloba (trilobed morning glory)
Lineage: Eukaryota; Viridiplantae; Streptophyta; Magnoliopsida; Solanales; Convolvulaceae
Exons: 3
Source: RefSeq, a predicted model, not a curated record
AUGGUAGCGUCACGACAGCGAGCUGUGUGCUUUGCUCUCCGGUGAGCUACGUGCGAUUAUGGUUUGGGUGGGCAGAGCAGCUCCGAAGGUGGGCGAAGCAGAGCUAAAGCCGACGGCAAGGUAGCGACACUGGUGCGGCAGCCUCCUCAACGACCUCCUCUGUUUCCGGCGCGGCAGGGCAGCGGCGGUGGAGCUUGGCAUCGACGACCGGCGUCACCCUUCUCCUGCGACGGCGAGGCAACGAUCGGCAGCGGAGCUUCGCAGCGGCGGGGGCUCCUCCCGGUGUCAAGGGCGUCGUCUUCCUCCUUUGUUAUCUUCCUCGCUCGACGUCACCAAAGGCGGACGACGUGCAACAGCAGCUGACGGUGGAAGCUGACGGAAGUCCCCUUUCCGUUCGGUCAGCAGCGACGGUGGAUGAGGGCGGUGUCCUCCUUUCCGCAUGAGUGAAUGAGCGAGCGUAGCAGCAUCAUCCUCCGUAUGGUGACCAAAGACUCACAGCAAGGGUAAUAACCGGUGGUUACACAACAGAACACAAGAACCAGAGUGGCACGGUGGUGUGGCUCUCGCAUGUUGAGUUGAGGGGCGUGGGUUCGAUUCCUAGUCUAGGCAGUUAAGGUUCGUGGUUAUGAACCGAGCUUAGAGUUCGUGUUGCUUUGGAUUAUUAUGCUUUCGGAAUUAAAUACGCUUCAAAGGUUUGCCUUAAAGCCUUUGCGUGAGCGCGAUAGGGAUAUACCCGUCUGAGGAGGCUUAGAUAGUGGUUAUGUUUUUAGAUUUAUGCUUUGGCCUGUGAGCCAUUUGAGACUUUAUAACUCUUGAUUAGUGAUUUGGGCACUUAUGAUUAUGACUUGAGGAUUUUAUUCUAUUUUAUAUAUGACAGCUUAGUUCGUUUCU